Molecule: long non-coding RNA, 564 nt
Organism: Orcinus orca (killer whale)
Lineage: Eukaryota; Metazoa; Chordata; Mammalia; Artiodactyla; Delphinidae
Exons: 2
Source: RefSeq, a predicted model, not a curated record
AAAAAGGAUAUAUUGGACUUCAUUGAAAUUAUAACUGGUCAGUAAAAGAUUCUUGUUAAGGGGAUGAAAAGACAAACCACAGACCUGGAGAAAACGUGCAAAGCACAUUAUCCGACAAAGGGCAUGAAUCAGGAUAUAUAACAAACUCUCAAAAUUUAACAAUAAGAAAACCACCCAAUUAAGCAUACGAGCAAAAGAUGUGAACACUUUAACAAAGAAAAUAUUCAAACGGCAAGUAAGGACUUCCCUGGUGGUGCAGUGGUUAAGAAUCCGCCUGCUAAUGCAGGGGACACGGGUUCGAGCUCUGGUCCGGGAAGAUCCCACGUGCUGCAGAGCAACUAAGCCCGUGCGCCACAACUACUGAGCCUGAACUCUAGAGCCCGCGUGCCACAACUACGCCACAACUACUGAAGCCCGUGCGCCUAGAGCCCGUGCUCCACAAGAGAAGCCACCACAAUGAGAAGCCCGUGCACUGCAAGUACGAGUAGCCCCCUCUCGCUGCAACUAGAGAAAGCCUGAGAGCAGCAACGAAGACACAAUGCAGCCCAAAAUAAAUAAAUAAAU